CAGGACGAACGCUGGCGGCGUGCCUAAUACAUGCAAGUCGAACGGUCUUUCUAUGGAAGCUUGCUUCCACUGAGAAGAUAGUGGCGAACGGGUGAGUAACACGUGGGUAACCUGCCCAUAAGAGGGGGAUAACAUCCGGAAACGGGUGCUAAUACCGCAUAGUUUUCUUGAUCGCAUGAUCGGGAAAGGAAAGACGGCCUUUGUGCUGUCGCUUAUGGAUGGACCCGCGGCGUAUUAGUUAGUUGGUGAGGUAACGGCUCACCAAGACGAUGAUACGUAGCCGACCUGAGAGGGUGAUCGGCCACAUUGGGACUGAGACACGGCCCAAACUCCUACGGGAGGCAGCAGUAGGGAAUCUUCCGCAAUGGACGAAAGUCUGACGGAGCAACGCCGCGUGAGUGAAGAAAGGGUUUUCGGAUCGUAAAACUCUGUUGUCAGAGAAGAACAAGUUGGAGAGUAACUGCUCCAGCCUUGACGGUAUCUGACCAGAAAGCCACGGCUAACUACGUGCCAGCAGCCGC
Molecule: ribosomal RNA, 521 nt
Filed under: uncultured bacterium
Lineage: Bacteria
Description: bacterial SSU rRNA
Rfam family: Bacterial small subunit ribosomal RNA
Source: RNAcentral